GGGCGUCCUGUCCCGUCCCUACGCGGCGACUGCGGCCCCGGCCCCGGAGUCCUCUCUGGGCAGCUCCGCGCCCGCAGCCCGGCGUCUUCCCAGAUUUUAAAGAGUUUGUUGGAGCAACAGCGAUUCCGAGAGAGAAACACCCGGUCAUGGCUUGUGAUUGAAGAAAAGGCUUUUAUAAGUUGCAUAAGGAGGCAAACAGGAUUAAAUACUUGAUUAGUUACAGUGAUGCUGUCGCCGUAUGUGGACUUGUCAACCUGAAAUAAAAGAAUCAGAUUCCA
Gorilla gorilla gorilla (western lowland gorilla) is the source of this 278-nucleotide long non-coding RNA. RefSeq lists it as uncharacterized. Lineage: Eukaryota; Metazoa; Chordata; Mammalia; Primates; Hominidae. The record is from RefSeq and is a predicted model, not a curated record. The transcript has 2 exons.